Molecule: ribosomal RNA, 1348 nt
Filed under: uncultured marine eukaryote
Lineage: Eukaryota
Description: SSU rRNA
Rfam family: Eukaryotic small subunit ribosomal RNA
Source: RNAcentral
CACAUCCAAGGAAGGCAGCAGGCGCGUAAAUUACCCAAUCCUGACUCAGGGAGGUAGUGACAAGAAAUAACAAUAAACCGGCUUAUGCCGGUUUAAUUGGAAUGAGUACAAUUUAAACAUCUUAACGAGGAACAAUUGGAGGGCAAGUCUGGUGCCAGCAGCCGCGGUAAUUCCAGCUCCAAUAGCGUAUACUAAAGUUGUUGCAGUUAAAAAGCUCGUAGUUGGAUUUCUGUGGGGACGGAGCGGCCGGCCGCAACACGCGGUUCGAGCUAGCGCUUUCCCUACAUCCUGCCGCGAACCGUGCUACCAUUAAUUUGGUGGCGCCGGGGAUCGGCUCGAUUACUUUGAGAAAAAUAGAGUGUUCAAAGCAGGCCACAUGCCUUGAAUAAGUUAGCAUGGAAUAAUAACUAAGGACUUCGGUGCUAUUUUGUUGGUGUUCGGGACUGAAGUAAUGAUUGAUAGGGACAGUUGGGGCGGUCUGUAUUCCAAAGCGAGAGGUGAAAUUCUUAGACCUUCGGAAGACAAACAGCUGCGAAAGCGUUCCGCAAGGAUGUUCCCUUUGAUCAAGAACGAAAGUUGGGGGAUCGAAGACGAUCAGAUACCGUCGUAGUCUCAACUAUAAACUAUACCAGCUAGGGAUCGGCCAACGUUAUUUUAUACCGACUUGGUCGGCACCUUAUGAGAAAUCAAAGCAUCUGGGUUCCGGGGGGAGUAUGGUCGCAAGGCUGAAACUUAAAGGAAUUGACGGAAGGGCACCACCAGCCGUGGAGCCUGUGGCUUAAUUUGACUCAACACGGGAAAACUUACCAGGUCCAGACAUAGUAAGGAUUGACAGAUUGAUAGCUCUUUCUUGAUUCUGUGGGUGGUGGUGCAUGGCCGUUCUUAGUUGGUGGAGUGAUUUGUCUGGUUAAUUCCGUUAACGAACGAGACCCCAGCCUGCUAAAUAGCGCGCGUGAGCUUUGCUCGCGGCGAGCUUCUUAGAGGGACUAUGAUGCGCGAUAGCACAUGGAAGUUUGGGGCAAUAACAGGUCUGUGAUGCCCUUAGAUGUUCUGGGCCGCACACGGGCUACACUGGCGCCUGCAACGAGCAUAUCAGCUGGCCCGAGAGGGUCUUGGCUAAUCUUUUGAACCGGCGCCGUGCUUGGGAUUGACCUUUGCAAUUGUUGGUCAUGCAACGAGGAAUGCCUUGUAAACGCGAGUCAUCAGCUCGCAUUGAAUACGUCCCUGCCCUUUGUACACACCGCCCGUCGCUCCUACCGAUGAAUGUUCCGAUGAAAUUUUCGGAGAGCACCUGUGAACUUGGCUCCGCCUUGCGAACGGGAGGCUCAAAGUCACUUAAAUCUGAACA